This 253-nucleotide ribosomal RNA is filed under the name uncultured bacterium. Its description in RNAcentral is "partial 16S ribosomal RNA". It matches the Rfam family "Bacterial small subunit ribosomal RNA", at positions 524 to 776 of the family's 1533-position model. The record is from RNAcentral.
UACGAAGGUCCCAAGCGUUGUUCGGAAUCACUGGGCGUAAAGGGAGCGUAGGCGGCGCGGUAAGUCAGAUGUGAAAUCCCGGGGCUCAACCCCGGAACUGCAUCCGAUACUGCCAUGCUUGAGGGUUGGAGAGGUAGCUGGAAUUAUCGGUGUAGCAGUGAAAUGCGUGGAUAUCGAUAGGAACACUCGUGGCGAAGGCGAGCUACUGGACAACAUCUGACGCUGAGGCUCGAAGGCUAGGGGAGCAAAAGGG